CAGUAAGCGGAGGAAAAGAAACUAUCCAGGAUUCUCCUAGUAACGGCGAGUGAACGGAGAUUAGCCCAUCACCGAAGUCUAUUCACUCUUGUGAACAAGACAAUGUGGUGUUCGGGCGUGCACUUUGGGAAUGCUUGCCUACUCGAAGUCCAACUCCGAUUAUGGCUAGGACCAUGCCCACAGCGGGUGAAAGGCCCGUGCGGGUAGGUUGUGAAGCAUUAUGAAGCGUUCCUCAAAUGUGCAUGCUCUCGAGUCGGAUUGCUUGAGAAUGCAGUCCAAAGUGGGUGGUAAACUCCAUCCAAGGCUAAAUACUGGCACGAGUCCGAUAGUAGACAAGUACCGUGAGGGAAAGUUGAAAAGUACUCUGAAGAGAGAGUAAAUAGUACGUGAAGCCGCUUGCAGGGAAGCUGGUGGAGUCAAGCUUCAUGCCUGUGAAUUUGUUGUCAGGACGUGUUGUUGAUUGAAUGGAGUCUGGUGCUGGUGAGCCUGGAAAUGGUUUGUCGCAUUUAACCGUGCGAUUCAAGUCAUACUGGGUUGUGUGUUUGAACUGGUACCAUGUGCUUCUCCCGUUCCUGAUACUGAAUUUCACAAUAUGGCAUACAUCACGAUGGAUGAGAUGUGUAAUGUGUGAUUGUUUAACCGCGCUUUGGCCAACACCGUUGUCGGCCGGGCGUGGAACGGCAGGUGGCAUGUGCGGGCCCUGUUGCUUGUAUCUUGCUUAUUGUGGAUUUUGAUCUGCCAACAGUCAUGUGUACAUUAUCAGCCUUAUCCUGACCAUAUGGAUGCGCACUCCUCGGAGCCGCGUCCAGUGAGAAUCGUGAUGCUGAGGUAGACUUCCACCCGACC
Molecule: ribosomal RNA, 846 nt
Filed under: Dactylogyrus sp. DW
Lineage: Eukaryota; Metazoa; Platyhelminthes; Monogenea; Dactylogyridea; Dactylogyridae
Description: partial large subunit ribosomal RNA
Rfam family: Eukaryotic large subunit ribosomal RNA
Source: RNAcentral